RNAcentral lists this non-coding RNA (520 nucleotides) under uncultured Glomus. RNAcentral describes it as "SSU rRNA". It matches the Rfam family "Eukaryotic small subunit ribosomal RNA", at positions 569 to 1091 of the family's 1831-position model. Lineage: Eukaryota; Fungi; Glomeromycota; Glomeromycetes; Glomerales; Glomeraceae. RNAcentral also lists the same sequence under 1 other name. The record is from RNAcentral.
AGCAGCCGCGGUAAUUCCAGCUCCAAUAGCGUAUAUUAAAGUUGCUGCAGUUAAAAAGCUCGUAGUUGAAUUUCGGGACCAUCAUGUCGGUCGUGCCUCGGUACGUACUGGCAUUGUUGGUUUCUACCUUCUGACGAACCAUGAUGUCAUUUAUUUGGUGUCGUGGGAAAUCAGGACUGUUACUUUGAAAAAAUUAGAGUGUUUAAAGCAGGCUCACGCUUGAAUACAUUAGCAUGGAAUAAUGAAAUAGGACGUUUGAUUCUAUUUUGUUGGUUUCUAGGAUCGACGUAAUGAUUAAUAGGGAUAGUUGGGGGCAUUAGUAUUCAAUUGUCAGAGGUGAAAUUCUUGGAUUUAUUGAAGACUAACUACUGCGAAAGCAUUUGCCAAGGAUGUUUUCAUUAAUCAAGAACGAAAGUUAGGGGAUCGAAGACGAUCAGAUACCGUCGUAGUCUUAACCAUAAACUAUGCCGACUAGGGAUCGGAUGAUGUUAAUUUUUUAAUGACUCAUUCGGCGCCUUAC